This 79-nucleotide transfer RNA is filed under the name Streptomyces violaceus subsp. violarus. RNAcentral's name for it is "Streptomyces violarus tRNA-Leu(gag)". The record is from RNAcentral. Lineage: Bacteria; Bacillati; Actinomycetota; Actinomycetes; Kitasatosporales; Streptomycetaceae. RNAcentral also lists the same sequence under 1 other name.
UGGGGUUGCGGGCGGGCGGGCAUCCGGCCCUGAGCAGGCCGGCGCGGGCGGGCGCACGUUCGACCCGGGCCAGUCCGGU